UACGUAGGGGGCAAGCGUUGUCCGGAAUUAUUGGGCGUAAAGAGCGUGUAGGCGGCCAGAUAAGUCCGCUGUGAAAUCUCGAGGCUCAACUUCGAGCUGUCGGUGGAAACUAUCUGGCUAGAGUCCGGAAGAGGAGAAUGGAAUUCCCGGUGUAGCGGUGAAAUGCGCAGAUAUCGGGAAGAACACCCGUGGCGAAGGCGGCUCUCUGGGACGGUACUGACGCUGAGACGCGAAAGCGUGGGGAGCGAACAGG
RNAcentral lists this ribosomal RNA (253 nucleotides) under uncultured bacterium. Its description in RNAcentral is "partial 16S ribosomal RNA". It matches the Rfam family "Bacterial small subunit ribosomal RNA", at positions 524 to 776 of the family's 1533-position model. The record is from RNAcentral.